Small nucleolar RNA from Arabidopsis lyrata subsp. lyrata, 81 nucleotides. The record is from Rfam. Lineage: Eukaryota; Viridiplantae; Streptophyta; Magnoliopsida; Brassicales; Brassicaceae.
CAGUAUGAUGAAAAGAGGGAGACGGUGCACCAGAUUGUCCAGAAUAAGAAGCAGUAAACGAUCUGCCAGACCCAUCUGGUA